UAGCAAUGAAGAUGGAUAUGCU
This 22-nucleotide non-coding RNA is filed under the name Arabidopsis thaliana (thale cress). The record is from RNAcentral. Lineage: Eukaryota; Viridiplantae; Streptophyta; Magnoliopsida; Brassicales; Brassicaceae.